GUGAUAGAUGAACGUCUCUGACCUAAUUUAGAAGAAGCGCUCAAGAAGAAAGCAGCUUUCCGAAGGUCCGUCGGAGAAAGAUCUGUAUAAAUAUUGUCUCCCUGCUGGUUGUCCUGGGCUAAAGAUGAAACAAGUCAAGGCAUUAUACCUUGAACAUCUGAUGGUUUGUUGCACCACUCUUGCUCUGCUCUUGCUCCCGACUGGAAGCUGCUGGACAAUGCUGAGAAUGCAAAAAAAUAUAAGUAAGGAAUAGGUAUCAUAUGGGACAAUAUUAUUAAGGGAC
Long non-coding RNA from Pygocentrus nattereri (red-bellied piranha), 283 nucleotides. The record is from Ensembl. Lineage: Eukaryota; Metazoa; Chordata; Actinopteri; Characiformes; Serrasalmidae.